RNAcentral lists this ribosomal RNA (497 nucleotides) under uncultured bacterium. RNAcentral's name for it is "partial 16S ribosomal RNA". It matches the Rfam family "Bacterial small subunit ribosomal RNA", at positions 28 to 507 of the family's 1533-position model. The record is from RNAcentral.
GAUGAACGCUGGCGGCGUGCCUAAUACAUGCAAGUCGAGCGAACGGACGAGAAGCUUGCUUCUCUGAUGUUAGCGGCGGACGGGUGAGUAACACGUGGAUAACCUACCUAUAAGACUGGGAUAACUUCGGGAAACCGGAGCUAAUACCGGAUAAUAUUUUGAACCGCAUGGUUCAAAAGUGAAAGACGGUCUUGCUGUCACUUAUAGAUGGAUCCGCGCUGCAUUAGCUAGUUGGUAAGGUAACGGCUUACCAAGGCAACGAUGCAUAGCCGACCUGAGAGGGUGACCGGCCACACUGGAACAGAGACACGGUCCAGACUCCUACGGGAAGCAGCAGUAGGGAAUCUUCCGCAAUGGGCGAAAGCCUGACGGAGCAACGCCGCGUGAGUGAUGAAGGUCUUCGGAUCGUAAAACUCUGUUAUUAGGGAAGAACAUAUGUGUAAGUAACUGUGCACAUCUUGACGGUACCUAAUCAGAAAGCCACGGCUAACUACGUG